This 380-nucleotide unclassified non-coding RNA is filed under the name uncultured Acidobacteriota bacterium. RNAcentral's name for it is "uncultured Acidobacteria bacterium contains 16S-23S intergenic spacer region". The record is from RNAcentral. Lineage: Bacteria; Pseudomonadati; Acidobacteriota.
UCCCCGUUUUCCGGGGCGGUUCCCUUAGGGUGCCCAGCGUUACCUGAUGGCAACUAAGGGUAAGGGUUGCGCUCGUUGCGGGACUUAACCCAACAUCUCACGACACGAGCUGACGACAGCCAUGCAGCACCUCGAUAACCGUCUCCGAAGAGAACCCCCUGUUUCCAAGAGUAGCAGUUACCGUUCGAGCCCCGGUAAGGUUCUUCGCGUUGCGUCGAAUUGAACCACAUGCUCCACCGCUUGUGCGGGCCCCCGUCAAUUCCUUUGAGUUUCAGUCUUGCGACCGUACUCCCCAGGCGGGGCACUUAACGUGUUAACUCCGGCACCGGGGGACUCAAUACCCCCGACACCAAGUGCCCAUCGUUUAGGGCUAGGACUAC